Molecule: unclassified non-coding RNA, 311 nt
Filed under: plant metagenome
Description: partial contains 5.8S ribosomal RNA, internal transcribed spacer 2, and large subunit ribosomal RNA
Rfam family: 5.8S ribosomal RNA (bases 1-105)
Source: RNAcentral
GAAAUGCGAUAAGUAGUGUGAAUUGCAGAAUUCAGUGAAUCAUCGAAUCUUUGAACGCACAUUGCGCCCGCCAGUAUUCUGGCGGGCAUGCCUGUUCGAGCGUCAUUUCCACCAUCAGGCCCCCGGGCCUGUGUUGGGGACCUGCGGCUGCCCGCAGGCCCCGAAAUUCAGUGGCGGUCGCGCCGUAGCAACCGAGCGUAGUAACUAAAACGUCUCGCUCUGGCUCGCUGGGCGCGCUCCGGCCGUAAAACACCCCCCCUUUUCGCAAAGGUUGACCUCGGAUCAGGUAGGAAUACCCGCUGAACUUAAGC